UUUGGGAUAACCCCGGGAAACCGGGGCUAAUACCGAAUAUGACUUCUGGUCGCAUGACCGGUGGUGGAAAGUUUUUCGGCCUGGGAUGGGCUCGCGGCCUAUCAGCUUGUUGGUGGGGUGAUGGCCUACCAAGGCGACGACGGGUAGCCGGCCUGAGAGGGCGACCGGCCACACUGGGACUGAGACACGGCCCAGACUCCUACGGGAGGCAGCAGUGGGGAAUAUUGCACAAUGGGCGGAAGCCUGAUGCAGCGACGCCGCGUGAGGGAUGACGGCCUUCGGGUUGUAAACCUCUUUCAGCAGGGACGAAGCGUAAGUGACGGUACCUGCAGAAGAAGCGCCGGCCAACUACGUGCCAGCAGCCGCGGUAAGACGUAGGGCGCGAGCGUUGUCCGGAUUUAUUGGGCGUAAAGAGCUCGUAGGCGGCUUGUCGCGUCGACUGUGAAAACCCGCAGCUCAACUGCGGGCCUGCAGUCGAUACGGGCAGGCUAGAGUUCGGUAGGGGAGACUGGAAUUCCUGGUGUAGCGGUGAAAUGCGCAGAUAUCAGGAGGAACACCGGUGGCGAAGGCGGGUCUCUGGGCCGAUACUGACGCUGAGGAGCGAAAGCGUGGGGAGCGAACAGGAUUAGAUACCCUGGUAGUCCACGCUGUAAACGUUGGGCGCUAGGUGUGGGGGGCCUCUCCGGUUCCCUGUGCCGCAGCUAACGCAUUAAGCGCCCCGCCUGGGGAGUACGGCCGCAAGGCUAAAACU
This 751-nucleotide ribosomal RNA is filed under the name Micromonospora yasonensis. RNAcentral's name for it is "bacterial SSU rRNA". It matches the Rfam family "Bacterial small subunit ribosomal RNA", at positions 137 to 901 of the family's 1533-position model. Lineage: Bacteria; Bacillati; Actinomycetota; Actinomycetes; Micromonosporales; Micromonosporaceae. The record is from RNAcentral.